This 505-nucleotide ribosomal RNA is filed under the name uncultured bacterium. RNAcentral's name for it is "bacterial SSU rRNA". It matches the Rfam family "Bacterial small subunit ribosomal RNA", at positions 28 to 517 of the family's 1533-position model. The record is from RNAcentral.
GACGAACGCUGGCGGCGUGCCUAAUACAUGCAAGUCGAGCGGACCAAAGGGAGCUUGCUCCUGGAGGUUAGCGGCGAACGGGUGAGUAACACGUGGGCAACCUGCCUGUAAGACUGGGAUAACAUCGAGAAAUCGGUGCUAAUACCGGAUAAUAAAAAGAACUGCAUGGUUCUUUUUUGAAAGAUGGUUUCGGCUAUCACUUACAGAUGGGCCCGCGGCGCAUUAGCUAGUUGGUGAGGUAACGGCUCACCAAGGCAACGAUGCGUAGCCGACCUGAGAGGUGAUCGGCCACACUGGGACUGAGACACGGCCCAGACUCCUACGGGAGGCAGCAGUAGGGAAUCUUCCGCAAUGGACGAAAGUCUGACGGAGCAACGCCGCGUGAGUGAUGAAGGUUUUCGGGUCGUAAAACUCUGUUGUUAGGGAAGAACAAGUGCCGUUCGAAAGGGCGGCACCUUGACGGUACCUAACGAGAAAGCCACGGCUAACUACGUGCCAGCAGCCG